ACGCUCGACACCUACGGAGGCAGCAGUGGGGAAUAUUGCACAAUGGGGGAAACCCUGAUGCAGCGACGCCGCGUGAGUGAAGAAGUAUUUCGGUAUGUAAAGCUCUAUCAGCAGGGAAGAAGAUGACGGUACCUGAGUAAGAAGCCCCGGCUAACUACGUGCUAGCAGCCGCGGUAAUCUGAGCGGGCUGGCAAGGC
This 197-nucleotide ribosomal RNA is filed under the name uncultured bacterium. RNAcentral describes it as "partial 16S ribosomal RNA". It matches the Rfam family "Bacterial small subunit ribosomal RNA", at positions 328 to 539 of the family's 1533-position model. The record is from RNAcentral.